RNAcentral lists this ribosomal RNA (449 nucleotides) under uncultured bacterium. Its description in RNAcentral is "partial 16S ribosomal RNA". It matches the Rfam family "Bacterial small subunit ribosomal RNA", at positions 29 to 523 of the family's 1533-position model. The record is from RNAcentral.
AACGAACGCUGGCGGCAGGCUUAACACAUGCAAGUCGAACGCCACCUUCGGGUGGAGUGGCAGACGGGUGAGUAACGCGUGGAAACAUACCUUUUGCUUCGGAAUAUUCCCGGGAAACUGGGAGCAAUACCGAAUGUGCCCUGAGGGGGAAAGAUUUAUCGGCAAAAGAUUGGUCCGCGUUAGAUUAGGUAGUUGGUAGGGUAAGGGCCUACCAAGCCUACGAUCUAUAGCUGGUCUGAGAGGAUGAUCAGCCACAUUGGGACUGAGACACGGCCCAAACUCCUACGGGAGGCAGCAGUGGGGAAUAUUGGACAAUGGGCGCAAGCCUGAUCCAGCCAUGCCGCGUGAAUGAUGAAGGCCUUAGGGUUGUAAAAUUCUUUCACCGGGGACGAUAAUGACGGUACCCGGAGAAGAAGCCCCGGCUAACUUCGUGCCAGCCGCCGCGGUAA